GUCAGUCAAUUGAUUUCACCCGGC
This 24-nucleotide non-coding RNA is filed under the name Arabidopsis thaliana (thale cress). The record is from RNAcentral. Lineage: Eukaryota; Viridiplantae; Streptophyta; Magnoliopsida; Brassicales; Brassicaceae.